RNAcentral lists this ribosomal RNA (460 nucleotides) under uncultured bacterium. Its description in RNAcentral is "partial 16S ribosomal RNA". It matches the Rfam family "Bacterial small subunit ribosomal RNA", at positions 338 to 795 of the family's 1533-position model. The record is from RNAcentral.
CCUACGGGAGGCAGCAGUGAGGAAUAUUGGUCAAUGGACGAGAGUCUGAACCAGCCAAGUAGCGUGAAGGAUGACUGCCCUAUGGGUUGUAAACUUCUUUUAUAUGGGAAUAAAAUGUUCCACGUGUGGGAUUUUGUAUGUACCAUAUGAAUAAGGAUAGGCUAACUCCGUGCCAGCAGCCGCGGUAAUACGGAGGAUCCGAGCGUUAUCCGGAUUUAUUGGGUUUAACGGGAGCGUAGGUGGAUUGUUAAGUCAGUUGUGAAAGUUUGCGGUGCAACCGUAAAAUUGCAUUUGAAACUGGCAGUCUUGAGUACAGUAGAGGUGGGCGGAAUUCGUGGUGUAGCGGUGAAAUGCUUAGAUAUCACGAAGAACUCCGAUGGCGAAGGCAGUUCACUGGACUGCAACUGACACUGAGGCUCGAACGUGUGGGUAUCAAACAGGAUUAGAUACCCCUGUAGUC